RNAcentral lists this ribosomal RNA (594 nucleotides) under Leuconostoc pseudomesenteroides. RNAcentral describes it as "bacterial SSU rRNA". It matches the Rfam family "Bacterial small subunit ribosomal RNA", at positions 86 to 668 of the family's 1533-position model. The record is from RNAcentral. Lineage: Bacteria; Bacillati; Bacillota; Bacilli; Lactobacillales; Lactobacillaceae.
UUUCAGUGAGUGGCGAACGGGUGAGUAACACGUGGACAACCUGCCUCAAGGCUGGGGAUAACAUUUGGAAACAGAUGCUAAUACCGAAUGAAACUUAGUGUCGCAUGAUACGAAGUUAAAAGGCGCUUUGGCGUCACCUAGAGAUGGAUCCGCGGUGCAUUAGUUAGUUGGUGGGGUAAAGGCCUACCAAGACAAUGAUGCAUAGCCGAGUUGAGAGACUGAUCGGCCACAUUGGGACUGAGACACGGCCCAAACUCCUACGGGAGGCUGCAGUAGGGAAUCUUCCACAAUGGGCGAAAGCCUGAUGGAGCAACGCCGCGUGUGUGAUGAAGGCUUUCGGGUCGUAAAGCACUGUUGUAUGGGAAGAACAGCUAGAAUAGGGAAUGAUUUUAGUUUGACGGUACCAUACCAGAAAGGGACGGCUAAAUACGUGCCAGCAGCCGCGGUAAUACGUAUGUCCCGAGCGUUAUCCGGAUUUAUUGGGCGUAAAGCGAGCGCAGACGGUUGAUUAAGUCUGAUGUGAAAGCCCGGAGCUCAACUCCGGAAUGGCAUUGGAAACUGGUUAACUUGAGUGCAGUAGAGGUAAGUGGAACU